AUGAGGACAGAGCCAAAGCAUUGGGCUAGGUCAUUUUUCCCACCUAGAGAAAACUGUGAAUCAGUUGAUAACAAUAUGUGUGAGUCAUUCAACAAUGCCAUUAUAGAAGCAAGGUUCUAUCCCUUUAUCUCACAAUAAGAAAUGAUAAGAAAGAAGGUGUUAGUCAGAGUGCAAGAGCAAAGAUCCAAAAGUGCAAAGUGGAAGGGUAAAAUUUGCCCCAAUAUUUUGAGGAAAUUGAAUGUCAGUAUUGAGAUGACACAGUACAUUGAGGUGCUAUGGAAUGGCAAGGAUGGCUUUGAGGUGAGACACAUGAAAGGGAGAAAAAAACAAUACACUUUGAAUCUUGAAAGGAGGAACUAUACUUGUGGUUAUUUUCAGUUGGCGGGCCUACCUUGUUGUCAUGCCAUUGCAGCUAUCUACAAGAGCAGGAGAAAUAUAGAGGACUAUAUUGACAAGUGCUACUACAUAGAAACAUUCAACAAAAUAUAUGAGCAUUGUCUACUUCCUGUUCAAGGAGAAGAAAGUUGGCCUGUUUCUGAUAAGCCUAGGCCUAUGGCACCUGGCUACAUUGCCAUGCCAGGAGCUAGGAAAAAGAACAAUGACAGGAGGAGAGAAGAGGGUGAAGCACCUAAGGGUAAGAAGUUGAGCAAACAUGGUUGUCAGAUAACUUGUGGGACCUGUGGGGGUCAGGGACACAACAAAAGUUCCUGUAAAAAGAAUGGAGAUACAACCAAAAAACAAGAUCACAUCUUGGCAAGAGAGGGAGAAAUUAGAGAGAAACAGAGGUACUAG
RNAcentral lists this ribosomal RNA (792 nucleotides) under Triticum aestivum (bread wheat). Its description in RNAcentral is "partial small subunit ribosomal RNA". The record is from RNAcentral. Lineage: Eukaryota; Viridiplantae; Streptophyta; Magnoliopsida; Poales; Poaceae.